Molecule: non-coding RNA, 22 nt
Filed under: Callithrix jacchus (white-tufted-ear marmoset)
Lineage: Eukaryota; Metazoa; Chordata; Mammalia; Primates; Cebidae
Also listed under: 8 other names
Gene: cja-miR-491
Source: miRBase by way of RNAcentral
AGUGGGGAACCCUUCCAUGAGG